AAAAAAAAAAAAAAAAAAAAAAAAAAAAAAAAAAAAAAAAAAAAUC
RNAcentral lists this non-coding RNA (46 nucleotides) under Prorocentrum micans. Lineage: Eukaryota; Dinophyceae; Prorocentrales; Prorocentraceae. The record is from RNAcentral.